Molecule: transfer RNA, 74 nt
Filed under: Candidatus Freyarchaeota archaeon
Lineage: Archaea; Promethearchaeati; Candidatus Freyarchaeota
Also listed under: 1 other name
Description: tRNA-Tyr
Rfam family: tRNA
About the family: Transfer RNA (tRNA) molecules are approximately 80 nucleotides in length. Their secondary structure includes four short double-helical elements and three loops (D, anti-codon, and T loops). Further hydrogen bonds mediate the characteristic L-shaped molecular structure. tRNAs have two regions of fundamental functional importance: the anti-codon, which is responsible for specific mRNA codon recognition, and the 3' end, to which the tRNAs corresponding amino acid is attached (by aminoacyl-tRNA synthetases). tRNAs cope with the degeneracy of the genetic code in two manners: having more than one tRNA (with a specific anti-codon) for a particular amino acid; and 'wobble' base-pairing, i.e. permitting non-standard base-pairing at the 3rd anti-codon position.
Source: RNAcentral
CGGGGUUUGGUGUAAGGGUAGCAUCAGGGGCUGUAGACCCCUGGGUGGCGGUUCAAAUCCGCCAACUCCGACCA